Long non-coding RNA from Populus euphratica (Euphrates poplar), 375 nucleotides. RefSeq lists it as uncharacterized. NCBI's taxonomy places the organism in Eukaryota, Viridiplantae, Streptophyta, Magnoliopsida, Malpighiales, Salicaceae. The record is from RefSeq and is a predicted model, not a curated record. The transcript is spliced from 2 exons.
CUUUCAUUCCUUUUCAAAUUGCCUAGGAGAGGAAAUGAACAGUAACAACCUAGCUACAGUAUUUUACUUACUUUUAUGAAUCACAGAACUGCUAAUGAAGAAGGUACUUCAACCAAAGGGAGAUGAAAUGAUUACUGGGCGUUCAUGACAGCACAUAUAAAAUACAAACUUAAGAGAAGGAUUCUGCCCAGGAGGACGAAGGAGCUGGAUCACUGUGGACAUGAGUCUUAAGAGUCCUUUAGCAUUAAUGAAGGACGGGAAAGAUAUCAACCCUUGAAUUCUCCAUGAACCUGCGCUUGAUAUCAUCCUGGGUGCUGGAGUUUCAAGAGCUAGUGACGGUUGCCACUUUGCUUGAUUCGUGGGAAUGGAUUGUGG